CCACAGAAACAUCACUGAUGUAGACUGCCUAGGAGCUGCACAUUAAUCUGCAUGUACCCUAUCCAUAACCUCUCUGGCAAGUGCCACUAAUCUUUGGUUCCGUUACCUGGUUGCAAGCCAUGAGAUAGAGAAGGAUGUUGAUGAGUGCUGAAGAUUGAAUCCCUGUCCAGUCAGCUGAUGCUACAAUGUGAAGAUGGGCCAAUCUCUUGGAGACAGAAUGGACAGUCUAUAGCAAAUUUCUCCAUGG
This is a long non-coding RNA of Chelonia mydas (Green sea turtle), 247 nucleotides long. RefSeq lists it as uncharacterized. NCBI's taxonomy places the organism in Eukaryota, Metazoa, Chordata, Testudines, Cheloniidae. The record is from RefSeq and is a predicted model, not a curated record. The transcript is spliced from 2 exons.